Molecule: ribosomal RNA, 461 nt
Filed under: uncultured bacterium
Lineage: Bacteria
Description: SSU rRNA
Rfam family: Bacterial small subunit ribosomal RNA
Source: RNAcentral
AGAAUCAACGCUGGCGGCGUGCCUAACACAUGCAAGUCGAACGAGAAAGUGGAGCAAUCCAUGAGUAAAGUGGCGCACGGGUGAGUAACACGUGACUAACCUACCUUUUAGUGGGGGGAUAACCUAGGGAAACCUGGGCUAAUACCGCAUAAUACCUACGGGUCAAAGCAGCAAUGCGCUGGAAGAGGGGGUCGCGGCCGAUUAGCUAGUUGGCGGGGUAAUGGCCCACCAAGGCAGUGAUCGGUAUCCGGCCUGAGAGGGCGCACGGACACACUGGAACUGAAACACGGUCCAGACUCCUACGGGAGGCAGCAGUGGGGAAUUUUGCGCAAUGGGGGAAACCCUGACGCAGCAACGCCGCGUGGAGGAUGAAGACCCUUGGGUCGUAAACUCCUUUCGAUCGGGACGAUAAUGACGGUACCGGAAGAAGAAGCCCCGGCUAACUUCGCGCCAGCAGCCGC